RNAcentral lists this ribosomal RNA (253 nucleotides) under uncultured bacterium. RNAcentral's name for it is "partial 16S ribosomal RNA". It matches the Rfam family "Bacterial small subunit ribosomal RNA", at positions 524 to 776 of the family's 1533-position model. The record is from RNAcentral.
UACAGAGGGGGCAAGCGUUAUUCGGAAUUAUUGGGCGUAAAGGGCGCGUAGGCGGCUUUGCAAGUGGCGGGUGAAAUCCCUCGGCUUAACCGAGGAACUGCCUGUCAAACUGCAUGACUUGAGACCGGGAGAGGUGAGUGGAAUUCCCAGUGUAGCGGUGAAAUGCGUAGAUAUUGGGAGGAACACCAGUGGCGAAGACGGCUCACUGGACCGGUACUGACGCUGAUGCGCGAAAGCGUGGGGAGCAAACAGG